Molecule: small RNA, 134 nt
Filed under: Pluralibacter gergoviae
Lineage: Bacteria; Pseudomonadati; Pseudomonadota; Gammaproteobacteria; Enterobacterales; Enterobacteriaceae
Description: RtT sRNA
Rfam family: RtT RNA
About the family: This family represents a bacterial cis-regulatory element known as RtT RNA.
Source: RNAcentral
AUAGCGCCCAGCCAGGGGGGAUGAGAACCCCCGACCGGGGUUCGACAACUGGCGCAGCCAGUUGGACAGACCCUGAGCCUGCGAACGGACUGCCCGGAGGGCGAGCGCAGCGAGUCAAUCCCCCCUCACCGCCA